CCUACGGGAGGCAGCAGUGAGGAAUAUUGGUCAAUGGAGGCAACCCUGAACCAGCCAUGCCGCGUGAAGGAAGAAUGUCCUAUGGAUUGUAAACUUCUUUUAUUUGGGAAGAAACCCCUCUACGUGUAGAGGGCUGACGGUACCAAACGAAUAAGGACCGGCUAACUCCGUGCCAGCAGCCGCGGUAAUACGGAGGGUCCAAGCGUUAUCCGGAAUCAUUGGGUUUAAAGGGUUCGCAGGCGGUUUAUUAAGUCAGUGGUGAAAGCCUACAGCUCAACUGUAGAACUGCCAUUGAUACUGAUAGACUUGAAUUUAGUUGGAGUAGGCGGAAUGUGUAGUGUAGCGGUGAAAUGCUUAGAUAUUACACAGAACACCGAUAGCGAAGGCAGCUUACUAAACUACGAUUGACGCUCAUGAACGAAAGCGUGGGGAGCGAACAGGAUUAGAUACCCUGGUAGUCCACGCAGUAAACGAUGAUUACUCGUUAUUGGCGAUACACGGUCAGUGACUAAGCGAAAGUGAUAAGUAAUCCACCUGGGGAGUACGGUCGCAAGAUUGAAACUCAAAGGAAUUGACGG
RNAcentral lists this ribosomal RNA (578 nucleotides) under uncultured bacterium. Its description in RNAcentral is "bacterial SSU rRNA". It matches the Rfam family "Bacterial small subunit ribosomal RNA", at positions 338 to 916 of the family's 1533-position model. The record is from RNAcentral.